AAAAAAAUGAAGUUCAAAAGUUGAGUGACGGCUAUUAAUAAUUAGCCAUAGAAAUAGAUUAAUAGAUUAUAUUAGAAUCAAACCAUAUUUAAAAAUAAACUAAAAAUAAAUUAUUUAAUUAAAUGCUAAGUCCCUAAUUUCAAAACCGAAAUCCGUGGCCACAAUAGAUCAUACUAUCUUGAAAACCUUGGUUAUUAAGCAAAAGACAUAAAACAAUUUAAAGAAAGACUAAUGAAUUGAAAAAAAAAAAUCAAUUCUCUAAUAAAUUAAAA
This 272-nucleotide unclassified non-coding RNA is filed under the name Hevea brasiliensis (rubber tree). The record is from RNAcentral. Lineage: Eukaryota; Viridiplantae; Streptophyta; Magnoliopsida; Malpighiales; Euphorbiaceae.